This 214-nucleotide ribosomal RNA is filed under the name uncultured Synergistaceae bacterium. RNAcentral's name for it is "partial 16S ribosomal RNA". It matches the Rfam family "Bacterial small subunit ribosomal RNA", at positions 1175 to 1382 of the family's 1533-position model. The record is from RNAcentral. Lineage: Bacteria; Thermotogati; Synergistota; Synergistia; Synergistales; Synergistaceae.
GGGGAUGACGUCAAGUCAUCAUGGCCCUUAUGGUCCAGGGCGACACACGUGCUACGAAUGGCCGGCACGAACGGGAAGCGGAGUUCGCGAGGACGAAGCGGAUCCCUUAAAGCCGGUCGCAGUUCGGAUUGAAGUCUGCAACUCGACUUCAUGAAGCUGGAAUCGCUAGUAAUCGUGGAUCAGCCAAGCCGCGGUGAAUACGUUCCCGGGCCUU